GCAAGUCGAGCGGAAACGGAGAUAGCUUGCUAUCAGACGUCGAGCGGCGGACGGGUGAGUAACGCGUAGGAAUCUACCUAUUAGUGGGGGAUAGCCAUUGGAAACGAUGAUUAAUACCGCAUACGCCCUACGGGGGAAAGGAGGGGACUCUUCGGAGCCUUUCGCUAAUAGAUGAGCCUGCGUAAGAUUAGCUAGAUGGUGGGGUAAAGGCCUACCAUGGCGACGAUCCCUAGCUGGUCUGAGAGGAUGAUC
RNAcentral lists this ribosomal RNA (252 nucleotides) under uncultured bacterium. Its description in RNAcentral is "partial 16S ribosomal RNA". It matches the Rfam family "Bacterial small subunit ribosomal RNA", at positions 57 to 305 of the family's 1533-position model. The record is from RNAcentral.